GUGUCUGUACAUAUUCUAAAAUUGGAAUGAUACAAAGAAGAUUAGCAUAGCCCCAGCAUGGCCACAGUCUAAUGACUGAAACAAGUAGAAGAUAGGAUAUAUAUAUAUAU
Octopus bimaculoides (California two-spot octopus) is the source of this 110-nucleotide non-coding RNA. NCBI's taxonomy places the organism in Eukaryota, Metazoa, Mollusca, Cephalopoda, Octopoda, Octopodidae. The record is from Rfam.